GAUACGCGAUUUCCUGCCCACUACAAUAAUGUGUAACGCCAGUAUUUGCACAUUCAUAGACAUAAUUACAGGCAAAUGGAAACAAAUAAUGUCUGUAAGAAAGGGGGGCUAUGUUAUAUCUUCGAAUGAAGGUCUUUGUAAAUACAAAUAUUGGUGUGCCUGUGCCACUGUAGGGGCUGUACCUCGUGGGAUUGUUGAUUUUGUUAUCAAAUCGCUCAAACUCACGGUUUCUGUGAUCAUGACGUGAAUGUGAGUGAGCGAACGGUGCUUGAUUGGUAUUCUUUUUGUCGUGAGAAUCAUCUCCAAUGGAAGGAGAUCAGAAGACUUCAUCUGUGAACGUGGGCUCUCCGUCAGUCACUGGUGACUGCGCCGUGAUGACGUUGGUAGUAGGUGACACGUGUCUGGAGGUGUACUGGGCCAUGCUGCAGCUAUGUUCCAGCACGACCCCCUGAAGAGGCAAGCAGCAGCCAACUGACAACUCACGAUAUGGAGAGCUCGGUGCUGCACCACCUGCUGUCGUACAUCUAUACCCUCCAGCUUCCCCCCCCCCCCCCCUCUCCCCCGCCGCCAAGCACAGUUUCCCAGCUAUUGGUUGCUGCCGACAAAUAUGGUGUGUCAGUCCUGAAGGAAGAGUGUGAGAGACUGCAGCAGCCACAGCUGUUCUAGUGGUUAUGCAUUCCUUUGUCAGAUCCGCCUCUCGUAUAAAGGCCCGUUUGGUUUGAGAUGGGUAUAAUGCCUAAAUGGCUGCCAUCUGAUCCUCCAACAAGAAUCAGGAUCAUCCACAAUGGGACAAGUUCAGGAGACAUCAUCCGUCAACCUGGGUUCCCUGUUGGGGAUGGUGCCAUGGUGACUCUAGUGGUGGGUGAUAAACGUCAGAUAGUGCCUCGCGCCAUCUUGCAGUCGUGUUCCAGUACGACGCACUGGUGGGUGGCUGGGGCCAGGUGACAAUCCCUGAGCUGGAGGACUCGGUACUGCACUAGCUGCUGGCUUACCUGUAUACUCUCCAGGCCUCCCAGCUGCCAUACACGGCUUUCCAGUGUUUGGUCAUUGCUGAUAAGUGUGGGGUAUCUGCCCUGAAGUAGUAGUGUGAGAGGCAGUCGGCUGUGAGGACAGUGUCAGCCACAGCUGUUCUUGCAGUUAUGCACUCCUAUGUCAGUCACGGGCAGGCAACCAUCUCCUGCAUAAAGGCCUACUUAGUAGUCCCUGUGAAGGCCACACAGGGCUGGAUGAAUGUGAAGCUUUACCAGCCUCAACAUUUGAUUGCAGUGAAACUGCUGCCAUUUCAUCCACCAGAAACAACCAGGAGCCUGUCUGGAGAGGAGAAUGGAAGGAAGUUGAUGUAGGCAGUUGAAGCGGUGACAGUCGGCAAACUGUGGACGCUGUUUGUAGCAGGUGCAAACAUGAUAGGAGAGGUGGACUGUACCGUGCUACUUAGCAAUGAAGGGAUACGUGAAUGCAGUGAGGUCACCAGUGGAGAACAGAGCUGAGGUGGAUGCAAGGAUAAGCGGCACACUCCUGUGAGGAGUGAACAUGCGGCACUGGUGCAGCUGCAGCUGGCAUCCUCUGCUGACACCGAAACCAGGCGUGUGGAGGGGAGAACGCUGCGGCACUCGGAGAUUGUGUACGUUGGCUACUGUGUUGGUGGGUGCAGGGGCCAAUAGGUGGCCAGGAAGGGUUUGAGAGAGACCCCUCUAAGCAUGGCACAAGACGAGGAUAGAUGGCAGCUGAUGGUUGCAAUACUAUCAUGAAAUAUGCAGUCUGAUAAACUUCUGUGGAAUAAAUGAGAAACACUUUCUCCAUCUGUUUAACACUGUUAAAAUAAGCAACGCAAAACUCCUACAGUCAUUUGUACCCAUAUGUAUGAGGUUGGUGUGAUAAGUCUGGUAAAAAAGGGAAAAAAUGUUUUUUUCAUAAAUAACUCGCCUUACUUCUCAGCAUAGCCUCCUUUAAGGGAUAUGGUCUUGCAAAUCCUCCAGCUUUUUCAUACCACUGGAAAAAUAGGUUCCGGCAGCCUCCACAAAAUACUCAUUGACUGCCAGUAUCACUGCCUCAUUUGAUGAAUACGUCUUCCCAGCCGACACACACAUUCAGUAGGGUUGGCUACAGUCUCAGAAAUCUCAAGAAUUUUUGUUUGGCACUCUUACUGUUGUGACUCUCCGAUCGUUCAAAGUGCCGCCGCGCAGUUACGCGCAUCCUCUACAUGCGGCGCUGUCUGCCAACCGUGCAGCAGCAGCGACACCUAAGCAGCCAGCCAGCCAGCGGCCUCUAGACUCGGACUCAGUUCGGAUUUGACUGUUAAAGUGUACACAUGUCUUACUCUGUUUACUUGAUCUGUGACUUACAUGUAUUGUCGUCCUUGAAAUAUAUUUGUUAAACUUGACGUUAUAACACUUACAUUAA
This is a long non-coding RNA of Schistocerca gregaria, 2400 nucleotides long. RefSeq lists it as uncharacterized. The record is from RefSeq and is a predicted model, not a curated record. Lineage: Eukaryota; Metazoa; Arthropoda; Insecta; Orthoptera; Acrididae. The transcript is spliced from 4 exons.